CAGGUCUUGACAUCCUUUGACCACCCUAGAGAUAGGGCUUUCCCCUUCGGGGGACAAAGUGACAGGUGGUGCAUGGUUGUCGUCAGCUCGUGUCGUGAGAUGUUGGGUUAAGUCCCGCAACGAGCGCAACCCUUGAUCUUAGUUGCCAGCAUUUAGUUGGGCACUCUAAGGUGACUGCCGGUGACAAACCGGAGGAAGGUGGGGAUGACGUCAAAUCAUCAUGCCCCUUAUGACCUGGGCUACACACGUGCUACAAUGGAUGGUACAAAGGGCAGCAAAACCGCGAGGUCGAGCCAAUCCCAUAAAGCCAUUCUCAGUUCGGAUUGUAGGCUGCAACUCGCCUACAUGAAGCCGGAAUUGCUAGUAAUCGCGGAUCAGCAUGCCGCGGUGAAUACGUUCCCGGGCCUUGUACACACCGCCCGUCACACCACGAGAGUUUGUAACACCCGAAGUCGGUGAGGUAACCUUUUGGAGCCAGCCGCCUAAGGUGGGACAGAUGAUUGGGGUG
RNAcentral lists this ribosomal RNA (508 nucleotides) under uncultured bacterium. Its description in RNAcentral is "bacterial SSU rRNA". It matches the Rfam family "Bacterial small subunit ribosomal RNA", at positions 975 to 1482 of the family's 1533-position model. The record is from RNAcentral.